CGAUGAAGCGCCUUCGGGUGUGGAUUAGUGGCGCACGGGUGAGUAACACGUAGGUAAUUUACCCUCGGGCGGGGGACAACUUUUCGAAAGAGAAGCUAAUACCGCAUAAGACCACGACCUCUGCGGAGGAUGUGGGAAAAGAUGGCCUCUUCUUGAAAGCUAUCACCGGAGGAUAAGCCUGCGUCCCAUCAGCUUGUUGGUAAGGUAACGGCUUACCAAGGCGAAGACGGGUAGCUGGUCUGAGAGGAUGAUCAGCCACACUGGUACUGGAACACGGACCAGACUCCCACGGGAGGCAGCAGUGAGGAAUAUUGGGCAAUGGGCGCAAGCCUGACCCAGCCACGCCGCGUGAGUGAUGAAGGCCUUCGGGUUGUAAAGCUCUGUGGGGAGAGACGAAAACGUCGGUUCAUAAUACGCUCCGGCCUUGACGGUAUCUCUUUAGCAAGCACCGGCUAACUCUGUGCCAGCAGCCGCGGUAAUACAGAGGGUGCAAACGUUGCUCGGAAUUACUGGGCGUAAAGCGCGUGUAGGCGGAUUCGAAAGUCAGAUGUGAAAUCCCUGGGCUCAACCUAGGAACUGCAUUUGAAACUUCGUGUCUAGAGUGAUGGAGAGG
RNAcentral lists this ribosomal RNA (613 nucleotides) under uncultured bacterium. Its description in RNAcentral is "bacterial SSU rRNA". It matches the Rfam family "Bacterial small subunit ribosomal RNA", at positions 67 to 657 of the family's 1533-position model. The record is from RNAcentral.